CUAGACAGUCGUCUGGUCGCCUGUUUUUUAAUAGGAGGAAAGUCCGGGCAGCAUAGAGCGCGAUAGUUGCUAACAGCAACCGGGAGUGAUCCUAGGGAAAGUGCCACAGAAACAAAACCGCUCCUAAUUCUUAAUUGGGGGUAAGGGUGAAAAGAGUAGGGUAAGAGCCUACAGUCGAUCAAGGUGACUUGAUUGGAUGGUAAACCCUAUCGGCUGCAAGGGGCAGGUUUGCUUGAUUCGAUUGAGCUGGUUGCUCGCCAACCUGUCAAUAUCCGCUUGAGUCUAUUAGCGAUAGUAGAUCUAGAUAGAUGAUCAGUACAAAACAGAACCCGGCUUAUAGACUGUCUAGCUAA
Molecule: RNase P RNA, 353 nt
Filed under: Candidatus Saccharimonadota bacterium
Lineage: Bacteria; Candidatus Saccharimonadota
Description: RNase P RNA component class A
Rfam family: Bacterial RNase P class A
About the family: Ribonuclease P (RNase P) is a ubiquitous endoribonuclease, found in archaea, bacteria and eukarya as well as chloroplasts and mitochondria. Its best characterised activity is the generation of mature 5'-ends of tRNAs by cleaving the 5'-leader elements of precursor-tRNAs.
Source: RNAcentral